CUGGGUUGGGAGACAGAUGAAGAGAAGAGAAGGGCUGGGCGGCAAUGUGACCCAACCUUCCUUAGCCAGGCACAGAAGUUCAGAACCAGGAAGACACAGUUCCUCAAGGUCUUUCAGUCUAUCUAGAGGGACAAAGUGUCAACCAGCAAUUUCCUUCCAGUAUGGUAUGGCGGAGAGCAAAGCAAGGAUGAAGACUGACAGAGAGACGUUCACAAUAAUAAGCAGAAGAGCUAUUUUGGGACCCACCCCCAAGCACUGUUGCAGAAAUCAAUCACAAAGCAUUUAUUGGUCAGCUACUGUGCACUUAACCCUUUUCAAGGCAUCGUAGAGACUGCAGAAAAGGAACAAAACCAGGGAAGGACCCAGUACAGUCUCUGGUCCCGACUCACAUCACAGGCACUCAUGAAAUGAUUGUUGCCUUCCAUGAAGUCAUAAUAAUGUUGACCAAUAUUCAUUGUCUGCUCGUGUGUGCCAGGGACCCUGUUCUAAGCUGCUGCCAUACAUUAAUUUAUCUCGUUCCAUCCCUUCCACAACAUUAGAGGUAGGUGCUUUGUCCUACCAUUUUUCAGAUAGUGAAACUGAAGUGCAGAGAGGUGAAGCCCAAGGCACACGCCUAGUAAGCGGUCAUAAGAUUGUGCAUUCAAGCACCAAUUACGGAAGACAUGAGACACACACAUUCUACAUCCCUAAACCUCAUGCGAAGAUUGGGUAGAACACUGACUACCUCACACUGCCGCUGUAAGGGUUCACCACAUCCUGCCCGGUGGGCCUGAACACUCAUUCUCCACGUUGUGUAACGUACCCCCUUCUCUCUGAGAGCCCAGCGCAGGGGAGGAGAACGAACACACACAUGCACACCAUCAAAAGUGAACAGUGCCUCCAUUUCCUUACCAGCAAAAUGAGGACAGUGCUGCUGUUUACCUCAUAAAGAAUAGACUGCAUAAAACAAAAGAGCACUUAAAAGAGAGCUUGGCACCAAGUAUGCACUUAGUAAACAUUAGCUAUUCUCAUUAUUAUCCUCACUAUAUCAUCGUCCUCAUCAUUAUUAUUGGUUAUGGAAAUUCACUAUGACUAGACCAGAAAACUGGGCUGGAGUGUUGGAAUUGCUUUAUGAAGGAAUGAAUGGGGAAACGUGGCUAAGAAUCAUGGGGCCACUGGGAAGAGCUGGUAUUUCGAACAAACAGAAGCCAGGGACGCAGAACUCCAGCCUCACUCAUGGGCAGGGGACAUUUGUCUAGGACUGGAAGAACUUUCACUACUUUCCCUUCAAACUGUGGGCAGUGGGAACUGUGGCACGUUCUUCCUGAUGGCCCUGGCUUGGGAACACCAACCCUGGGGAGGGUGACCUUCCUGAGAAGGGAUCAAACCAGCUGGCCUGAGGCUCUUGGAGAAGUAAGGAAUUUACAUCCUGGGAGCCUCACAGAGCUACUCCCUGCUGCAGCUCCUGGACAUAAUGACAUUUCUGUCCCCUCUCCCCACCCUACCUUCCCUCAGCCCCAGCCACAAUGGCAGCUGCUGCUGGUUGGAUGUGAGAUUUGUAUGCUGUUUACAGUGCUGCCUUUUUAUUCUUGAACCUGAAAGCUUUACUGGGUAUUAAAUUCCAGCAUCAGAUUGCUGUUUGUGCUCCCGAGUGAAAGAAAGAGAAAGAGAGCUUUAAUGCUUUCCAAAAAGUAGGGCCUGAAUCAUUUAUGAGGGACA
Long non-coding RNA from Callithrix jacchus (white-tufted-ear marmoset), 1698 nucleotides. RefSeq lists it as uncharacterized. The record is from RefSeq and is a predicted model, not a curated record. Lineage: Eukaryota; Metazoa; Chordata; Mammalia; Primates; Cebidae.